GCCCGGUCCUCCUCCUCGGGACGCUGCCUCCUGGCGACCCGGGGCGCUCGGGCUCUGCGCACCAGGGCGGCCCCUCUGGUCAAGCUCUCUUCUCCUCCCGGGGCGGGAGAGGCGCCUUCAACUCCCGGAAGCAGAGGUGUCUAUGGAGACCAUCAACGUUCUGAGCCUCGGUUUCCUCUCCUGUUGUUUCCGGAAUGGCAGAGCUGACCACGUUGGAGUGUCCUGAGAAAUGAGAUUAACUAGGUCACCAAGAUGCUGGCUGUGGUGGUGGUCCUCUUCGCUCCGCUGUGGCUGCCCUACCACACCCCGGUGGUGGCAAACUCCUGCCUGAGCCCGCCCUGCCUCAGCCUGGGCUUCCUGCUCUUCUGCCGCCUCUGCACCUACGUGAACAGCACCGUCAACCCCAUUGUCUACACCCUCAUGUCCCAGCGCUUCCAGGACGCCUUCCAUGGGCCAUUUCAGUGCCUGCUGGCUCAGCCCGAGCUCCCGCCCCAGGAGGCCACCCCUGUUUACUACAGUGUCAUCAAAGACUGUUCCCAACACAGACUGGGCUCUUAGAAGAAACCGGGGGGCAUGAUGUCCAGACACGGAAGGGAUCCUGGCGCCUCAGAGCAAGGCCCAUCACCUUAUUCCUACUGAGGCAAAAGGGUCUCUGUGCACUUGGGGAACACAUGGCUAUUGGAGGAGAGAGUGGUGUCCAGGGCUGUUUGGUAAAGGUGGGCAGGUUGUGCACUGCACAACCCGAGGGGUCACCGUUCACCUGACAGGCGGCCUUGAUUUGUAUAUUUAUUAAAACAACUUCCCAGUUUAAUAAAUAUACGAAUCUAAGAGGGAAGCACACCUUUUUAUAAUUUACACAAAAAUACUCUAUGGCCUAAUAGCAGCCUGGGCAGGUGAACAUCAGCAGAGAUUGGGUAGGGUGGGAGGAGUUGCCAGGGGUCUCCUGGGAACUGAGGGAACCUCUUCCUAAAAUUCAGCGGGUCUUUUUUUUGCCAGGAUAAGCACCAAGUGCUGCCGCCCUCUGAAUGGUGACACAUGGCUUUCUUGACGCCCUGCUACAUCUGGGGUAGCCUGCUGGCCAUUUCGAACACUACAGAAUGAUGCCAACAGGGUCUCUGCUCUUGGUAGCCCCCAGUCUAACAGGGGAAGGAGGCAGGACACGUCCAGCCUGGUGCUGGAAUCCUGGCAACCAGCCUGAGGAGGCAGCCAGGUGGGAGCGUGGGGGCACCAGCCUUGCCUCAACUAGGCCGGAGCCCUCUGGUCCUCUGUCCUGUGUCCUCUGUCCUGUGUCCAGGCUUCUACGACUCCCCAACUUGAUAGUGUGCAGAAGGAGGAGAGUGAAAGGCUAGUGGAAGCAGCCUCACUUACAGGCAGGAUCUCCAUGUUUUAAUUUAGGGGAACCUGGGACAUUCCCUCCCCCCAGACAAUCUACUUCCGGUUUCUCCGUGGAUGCCACCACCUCUCUCUUGGUGCAUUUGAAGCUGUUGAGCAUUGCCUUUCCCAAAUGUGCACAUCUCCCUGGGAGACGGAGUUAACUGAGUCCCUGAAGCUUCAGUGUGGAGGAUGAAGUUCUUGAAAGCUUUUCCCCUAAAAAGAAGGAUUUAGGGUACCAGGGGAUCCAGGACAAAGAAGGCGGCAUUGAUUGGGGGAAGAGGAGGCAGAAAGGGAAAUUAGAGUAGGGCGGAGAAGGGGUUUGCUCCGUGGCCUUGUCUGAAGUAGGACGUUGGCAAAGCAUUGCUCUGCGUGGUGGGGCUCUCUGGGGUCUCCACUUGUCGUCGAAUAGGGCUCAGGAAAAAUUCAGAGAUAUCUCACAGCAUGGGUUAAGGUAAGAGGAUUUAUCGUGUAAAUAGUAAACUGAGGGUCAGGGAUAGAGGAAAAUGCACAGUCCCCCAUUCACCCAUCAUGGCACAGGGAGGCAUGAGGGCCCCGUUUUGACUGGACUCACAGGCAGGGUAGGUUGCCUUCCAGCGGAGGGAUCCCCCUCUUUGCUCUGCCUUCUUGUGGGGAGCAUGUGAGGUCGACCUCAUCAGGAAGGGACACAACUAACAGCCGGGCCCCAGGCAGAGUGGAUGAGGGGUGCCUGUGGUUCACAGGGUUUGCCUAGGGGCUCCAGCUGCUCUGAGGAUGUUGGGGACCAUGGGAAGGUACAGCCCCCUCUGCUGAGGAAAGGACCCUGCUCUCAAGGGAGGUAAGAGGGAAGCGCUUCCCGCUGCAUGACUUCGCUGGCUCAGUGUCCGGGCACCCCCGGGAGAACUUCUGGACCACUCUGCUCAUUGCACCACAGGGCUUUGCUUUGAGCAUCCUCUAUAAAAUGGCGUGAGUGUAUCUGAGAGCUGCAGGAGUCAUACUAGACGUUUUAUUAUCAUUCAUUUAUUCGUUUUGGCUACCUGGCAUCUGAACAUCCUUUUUGUAUAUGGGAAAUCAUCCACUGUGUGAAUGUCGCUAGAAGGCAGGGCACCUUCUCCCAAGAGGAAAACUGACAAGCCAGGGACUCACUCUCUCUGUCCCCUGGCAUGGGCUCGUGGGCCGUGUGACCUGGCGCAGCUCAUCAGAUGCCUCUUCCCAGGACUUGACUCUUCUGCAACUGAUACAAAUGCACAGGGAGAGUGUUUUAUUUGCGCUCGCAACAGCAGCACUGGUAGCCGUUAUUCAGUGGCUGUGGAAGCGGAGACAGCAGCGUGGCAUCCAAUGUCCUGGGGCAGUGGUGGCAGUGGCAUCCCCACCAGAGGGUCCUGCAGUUGAUUCCUACUACCCAGCCUACCUCGGUUGCCUCUUGUAUUCUAUCUUGGUUCUACGAGCCUCCCAAUAUCCUUCUUAACAAGUCCCCUUUUUGCUUAUUUUAUCAGAAGUCAGUGCCUGUUGUUUGCAACCAGGAACUCUGGCUGAUCCUGAGGCAUAAAUCUCUAACGCAUCUCUGGGCUCUGACAAGCCAAGCUACCAGGAUUCUCUAAUUGAGAUUCUUCUCCAACUGCCUCCUAACAUUUCUAUCAGGAUGGCAAACCCAACAUGGCCAAUCUGAGUUCUUCCUCUUCCCCGUGGACCACUUCCACCCCAUUCUGAGCCAAAACCCUUGAGUCAUCCCAGUUCUUCUGCCCUCUUCACCCUUCACACCCAAACAGUUACUGAACGGUGAAAGCCAUCCUUUCACCUCCACUCCCAUCCCUUGCUGGACCAGUGCCUCAGCCUCCUUUCUGACCUCCUGCCUUCAGCCUCUCCCGCUCGCUUCCAUUUCUCCAAAGACGGCCCACACCAUCUGAGGUGCCCGUGGGGUGGUCACUGUGUACAUGAGCUUUGGACUCAAACUAGAUCUGGAGUCAGCACCCACCCCAUCACUCCCUAACAGUGCGACCUUAGCCAACAUAUUGAUUACAGUGACAACUUGUCCCCAUUUUCCCAGGACUGCGUCAGUUUUAGUAUUGAAAGUUCUGCAUCCUGGGAAACCCCACUUAUAUUUAUAUUUGUAAAUUAUUAAUUAUAUAUGUUUCUAUUUAAUGUAAGCUUUGUUUUUGCAUCUGUGAGACAGGACCUGCAGUAGUGCUUAACCCACAGCAUUGUUCUGGUGAUUGUUAUAAGGCACGGAAAGUGCUUCUACAUAGCAAGGCUAAAAUAAAUGCUAUUUAUUUUGAAAUAUCUUCCACAUAGCAUCCCAUUCUUUUCCUUCACAAUACUUCUCACAAUUGGAACUCUAGCUAUUUGUGAUUAUCCAUAUACUGUGGAUGUUCUGAGUAGGCAGAUCCCGUGAAGGCAGGACCCACGUCUGGCUUUUUCACUGCUGUAUCCCAGAACCUAGAACAGAGCCUGGUGUCCAGCAGGUACCCCACAUAUUUACUGUGUGAACAAAUGAAUGGAUAAUGAGUAAAGACCAGCUUUAACCUUAGUACUCCACACCCUUUGCUGGGGUCUGGCUUUCCGUUUGAGGGAGGUUCGAGGUAUAGAUUGUUGCUUGUUGCGGUUCUUUGUUGGCAAAAGAAAGCAUCUCUGACUAACUAAAUCAGAAAGGAAUCACUGGAGUUGGAAAGAACCAGAACCAGGAUAGCUCCAAAGAUCCCCAUAGCAGGAAAUUACUGGGCAAUUGCUUCCUGGCAUCCGUGUCAGAAUGAAUCAGCUCCACCCAGGCCAGGAGUAAGAUGGGUGACUUAUUGGACCAUUGUUCAAUGGCUGCCUUUGACAGUUCUAUAGGUUGGGCACUGCUCAAUUCCCAUGAGCAUCACUCAGCAGUCCAAAUGGAUGGAUCCGCUGGAGUUGUACAGUGCACAGCCUCUGCGAGUGUAUAUGGCAGACCUUAAUGGGAGUGAGAUAGUUCCCCAAAGGAAAAUUGAAGUGCUUGUUAUCAGAAAAAGGUGGUGUGGAUGUCAGGAGGACAAAAAAAAACCCCAAAAAACAAACAAAAAAAAACCAACAGAUGUCCACUUAGGUUAAUAGCAGCGGGAGACUUCAGUUGGGCGACAAAGCUCAUCCUGGCAGUUGACAGCUGCAGGCCCGUGCUAAUAUUGUCACCUAGUGGUCACAGUGGAAACUGCAUUUUUCACUAUCUUCCUCUUCCCCAGCCUCCGUGCCUCCAUCCCACUUUCUCUCCUCUCUUCUCCCCUCUCCUCCCCUCCCCUAGACUGUCCUGCCUUAUUCAUCAUCUCUGGGAACUGGUCGUCCCUGACCUCUGUGCUGGCCAGGAUUGAGCCCCAGAGCUGGGGACCUGGGAAGCUGUAGAACUCAGACCCCAUCCCCCUCUCUGUUUCUUUCCCUGUUUUCUUCCUCAUUCUUGCAUUAUUUUCUCCUUUCUUUUUUAAACCUUUUAUUCAACAAAUGUUUAUUGGAGCAUCUCCUGUGUGCUGGAGUCAGCCUGAGAUUCACUGACUCUGCCGUAGAUUUAGUGCACGGCGUUCUCCUCUUCUGAGACCCACUUAUGUCGUAUUACCCAAGUAACUCUGAAGACAGAUGCCCAUACACACAUCAAAGUAAAUAUGAGGUCAUGAUUAAUUUCAUCCCAAUAGAGCUAUCAGGAAAAUCAUUGGAUGGUGUCAUGUCCCCCUCAAAGAUGUUGAACUUUUAAUCCCCGGUACCUGUCGAUGUGACCUUAUUUGGAUCGCAGAUGAUUCAGUUAAGAUGAGGUCAUUUGGGUGGACCUUAAUCUAAUAUGACUGUGUCC
Non-coding RNA from Equus caballus (horse), 5143 nucleotides. Lineage: Eukaryota; Metazoa; Chordata; Mammalia; Perissodactyla; Equidae. The record is from RefSeq and is a predicted model, not a curated record.